RNAcentral lists this ribosomal RNA (235 nucleotides) under uncultured bacterium. RNAcentral describes it as "partial 16S ribosomal RNA". It matches the Rfam family "Bacterial small subunit ribosomal RNA", at positions 524 to 757 of the family's 1533-position model. The record is from RNAcentral.
GACAGAGGGUGCAAACGUUGUUCGGAAUUACUGGGCGUAAAGCGCGUGUAGGCGGCCAUCUAAGUCGGGGCGUGAAAUCCCACGGCUCAACCGUGGAAGUGCACUCGAAACUGGAUGGCUAGAGUCCUGGAGAGGAAGGUGGAAUGCUUGGUGUAGAGGUGAAAUUCGUAGAUAUCAAGCGGAACACCGGUGGCGAAGGCGGCCUUCUGGACAGUGACUGACGCUGAGACGCGAA